RNAcentral lists this ribosomal RNA (490 nucleotides) under uncultured bacterium. Its description in RNAcentral is "partial 16S ribosomal RNA". It matches the Rfam family "Bacterial small subunit ribosomal RNA", at positions 30 to 507 of the family's 1533-position model. The record is from RNAcentral.
AUUGAACGCUGGCGGCAGGCCUAACACAUGCGAGUCGAAUGGUAACAGGAAACAGCUUGCUGUUUCGCUGACGAGUGGCGGACGGGUGAGUAAUGUCUGGGAAACUGCCUGAUGGAGGGGGAUAACUACUGGAAACGGUAGCUAAUACCGCAUAACGUCGCAAGACCAAAGAGGGGGACCUUCGGGCCUCUUGCCAUCAGAUGUGCCCAGAUGGGAUUAGCUAGUAGGUGGGGUAACGGCUCACCUAGGCGACGAUCCCUAGCUGGUCUGAGAGGAUGACCAGCCACACUGGAACUGAGACACGGUCCAGACUCCUACGGGAGGCAGCAGUGGGGAAUAUUGCACAAUGGGCGCAAGCCUGAUGCAGCCAUGCCGCGUGUACGAAGAAGGCCUUCGGGUUGUAAAGUACUUUCAGCGGGGAGGAAGGGAGUAAAGUUAAUACCUUUGCUCAUUGACGUUACCCGCAGAAGAAGCACCGGCUAACUCCGUG